This 259-nucleotide long non-coding RNA is filed under the name Prunus persica (peach). RNAcentral describes it as "long non-coding RNA (PPER_LNC001384)". Lineage: Eukaryota; Viridiplantae; Streptophyta; Magnoliopsida; Rosales; Rosaceae. The record is from RNAcentral.
UGAAACAGACAUCUAUAUAAAUACAAUUGCGAAAAAAAUAUUUACGAAACUUUGUAAGUCGCGCGUAGCGCAUGUGAUUAAAAAAAAACCUUCGCACAUAAGGUGGUCAGCUAAGAUGGUCAUUGUUGUGUGUCUAAAUAGCAUUACUCUUAGUAUAUAGUCUAAUUAGUAAAUUUGUGUGUAAUAUACGUACAUAUGUAUUAGGAAAAAAUGAACUUUUCAUAUGUUUCUUAAUUACACACGUAUAUAGGAAUUUUUC